Molecule: ribosomal RNA, 401 nt
Filed under: uncultured bacterium
Lineage: Bacteria
Description: bacterial SSU rRNA
Rfam family: Bacterial small subunit ribosomal RNA
Source: RNAcentral
GGGGGAUAUUGCGCAAUGGGGGCAACCCUGACGCAGCAACGCCGCGUGAAGGAUGAAGGUUUUCGGAUUGUAAACUUCUUUUAUUAAGGACGAAAAAUGACGGUACUUAAUGAAUAAGCUCCGGCUAACUGCGUGCCAGCAGCCGCGGUAAUACGUAGGGAGCAAGCGUUGUCCGGAUUUACUGGGUGUAAAGGGUGCGUAGGCAGCUUUGCAAGUCAGAUGUGAAAUCUAUGGGCUCAACCCAUAAACUGCAUUUGAAACUGUAGAGCUUGAGUGAAGUAGAGGCAGGCGGAAUUCCCCGUGUAGCGGUGAAAUGCGUAGAGAUGGGGAGGAACACCAGUGGCGAAGGCGGCCUGCUGGGCUUUAACUGACGCUGAGGCACGAAAGCGUGGGUAGCAAAC